CUAACAUGUGCGCGAGUCAAUGGGUCUUGAUAAGGCCCAGAGGCGCAAUGAAAGCAAAGGGCGGCAGAACGCCGUCUGAGUUGGGAUCCUGGGGCUUCCGCGUCCAAGGAGCACCAACGACCCGUCCUGUCAGAUUUACCUCGGUUGGGCGGAGUAUAAGCGUACACGUUGGGACCCGAAAGAUGGUGAACUAUGCCCGGGCAGGACGAGGCCAGAGGAAACUCUGGUGGAGGUCCGUAGCGGUUCUGACGUGCAAACCGGUUAGAAAGAAUGAAGGAGAAACUAUUUUUAAGUAAA
This 297-nucleotide non-coding RNA is filed under the name Stegodyphus mimosarum. Its description in RNAcentral is "Eukaryotic large subunit ribosomal RNA". It matches the Rfam family "Eukaryotic large subunit ribosomal RNA", at positions 675 to 939 of the family's 3401-position model. The record is from Rfam by way of RNAcentral. Lineage: Eukaryota; Metazoa; Arthropoda; Arachnida; Araneae; Eresidae.